CCUACGGGUGGCUGCAGUGAGGAAUAUUGGUCAAUGGACGCAAGUCUGAACCAGCCAUGCCGCGUGAAGGAAGAAGGCUCUAUGAGUUGUAAACUGCUUUUGUACGAGGGUAAACGCAGAUACGUGUCUCUGUCUGAAUGUAUCGUAAGAAUAAGGAUCGGCUAACUCCGUGCCAGCAGCCGCGGUAAUACGGAGGAUUCAAGCGUUAUCCGGAUUUAUUGGGUUUAAAGGGUGCGUAGGCGGUCGGAUAAGUUAGAGGUGAAAUCCCGAGGCUCAACCUCGGAAUUGCCUCGGAUACUGGUCGGCUAGAGUGUAGUUGCGGUAGGCGGAAUGUGUGGUGUAGCGGUGAAAUGCUUAGAGAUCAUACAGAACACCGAUUGCGAAGGCAGCUUGCCGAGCUACUUCUGACGUUGAGGCACGAAAGCGUGGGUAGCAAACAGGAUUAGAUACCCCAGUAGUC
This 460-nucleotide ribosomal RNA is filed under the name uncultured bacterium. Its description in RNAcentral is "partial 16S ribosomal RNA". It matches the Rfam family "Bacterial small subunit ribosomal RNA", at positions 338 to 795 of the family's 1533-position model. The record is from RNAcentral.